RNAcentral lists this unclassified non-coding RNA (270 nucleotides) under uncultured fungus. Its description in RNAcentral is "partial internal transcribed spacer 2". Lineage: Eukaryota; Fungi. The record is from RNAcentral.
AACGCAUAUUGCGCCGCGCGGUAUUCCGCGCGGCACGUCCGACCGAGCGCCGCUGCAACGCUCGCAGGCCUCCCCUACAGGGAGGGCCCGCGGUGCUGGGGAGACCGGGGCGACCCGGCCCCCCGAAACACAGCGGCGGCCGAAGCGGCGAGCCCGGCGUAGUAGACAAAACCUCGCCUGGGGGACCCGCGGCGGCCCGCCACGACGGGCGCUGCUCGAACAACCACAAGAGUUGGCCUCGGGUCGGACGAGGUUACCCGCUGAACUUAA